Molecule: ribosomal RNA, 775 nt
Filed under: uncultured Neocallimastigales
Lineage: Eukaryota; Fungi; Neocallimastigomycota; Neocallimastigomycetes; Neocallimastigales
Description: partial large subunit ribosomal RNA
Rfam family: Eukaryotic large subunit ribosomal RNA
Source: RNAcentral
AGAGAGAGACAUGCGCGCAUAUCAAUAAGCGGAGGAAAAGAAACUAACAAGGAUUCCCCUAGUAACGGCGAGUGAAGCGGGAAGAGCUCAAAUUUGAAAUCUUAAAGGGUUUCCCUUUACGAAUUGUAGUUUAAAGAAGUGUUUUCUGUUGAGGUUUUGGUAAAAGUUCUUUGGAAUAGGACAUCAUAGAGGGUGAGAGUCCCGUAUUUGACCUUUACUUUCAACUUUGUGAUACACUUUCAAAGAGUCGGAUUGUUUGGGAAUGCAGUCCAAAAUGGGUGGUAAAUUUCAUCUAAAGCUAAAUAUUGGCGAGAGACCGAUAGCGAACAAGUACCGUGAGGGAAAGAUGAAAAGAACUUUGAAAAGAGAGUUAAACAGUACGUGAAAUUGUCAAAAGGGAAGCGUUUGACACCAGUGUUGUUUUUCUGAAAAUCAAUUAAAGAACUGUUUAUGCUAAGCUGUUUAGACUUUAUCAGCUAAUCUGUUUAGUUUUGAGCUUUUCUUUAAUGCACUUUUCAGUUAACAAGUCAACAUCAAUUUCUUUUGCUGUAAAAAAGCUUGAGGAAGGUGGCUUGAGAUUCGUCUUAAGUGUUUAUAGCCUCUUGCCUAUGCAGUCGGAGAGAUUGAGGUCUGCAGCGUAGAUCCUUCGGGGCUAAAUGCAUUUGUGCUAAGUUAUAGCAUUUUAUAGACAACUUGUUGACUAUGAUUUGUCUUGUAGCUUACUCGCUUAUGUUAUUUUACCUACGCUUAGGAUGUUGAGCGCAUGUCUCUCUCU